UGGAGACGGAGGUGGCGCAGGCAGAGGGCACAGCUGCAAAUGUUUAACCUCGCUGGUUUGUUUUGCUUAAAGUUUUACAGGCUGCAUUUGGAGAGGAAAGUAAGACUUGAAUAAAUGCAACGGUGGCCUCCGGUGGUGGCGGCUUGGUUCCUGCUAAUUUACCUGUUCCAGGUUCCAGUUUACUGUGGCAGAUCUAACCAGGGAUGAACCUUGGCGCUCCAGUUAUUGGAAGGUAAGACCCAGGAACUGCCAAGCUGGGUCAAGGCGACCACAAGAGGGUGCAGCUCUUCCAGGUUGUUCGGUUCUUCUUUCUGUAAAAUGAUUGUGUCCAAUUCGUUCGUGUUGCUAGUCUGAAGGAACUUGACUGGGACUUUUUUCUUAAUUUAAAGAGAUAGUAAAUAAAUAACAAAUAGAGGAACUGUCUAAUUAAAUCGCCAUUUUUUUGACAAAAAAAACAAAGCAG
This is a long non-coding RNA of Gasterosteus aculeatus aculeatus (three-spined stickleback), 463 nucleotides long. Lineage: Eukaryota; Metazoa; Chordata; Actinopteri; Perciformes; Gasterosteidae. The record is from Ensembl.